AAAAAAUGUAACAAGGUUUCCGUAGGUGAACCUGCGGAAGGAUCAUUG
RNAcentral lists this ribosomal RNA (48 nucleotides) under Ageratum conyzoides. RNAcentral describes it as "partial 18S ribosomal RNA". It matches the Rfam family "Eukaryotic small subunit ribosomal RNA", at positions 1784 to 1831 of the family's 1831-position model. The record is from RNAcentral. Lineage: Eukaryota; Viridiplantae; Streptophyta; Magnoliopsida; Asterales; Asteraceae.